GACGUAGGGCGCGAGCGUUGUCCGGAUUUAUUGGGCGUAAAGAGCUCGUAGGCGGCUUGCCGCGUCGACUGUGAAAACCCGCGGCUCAACCGUGUGGUCUGCAGUCGAUACGGGCAGGCUAGAGUUCGGUAGGGGAGACUGGAAUUCCUGGUGUAGCGGUGAAAUGCGCAGAUAUCAGGAGGAACACCGGUGGCGAAGGCGGGUCUCUGGGCCGGUACUGACGCUAAGGAGCGAAAGCGUGGGGAGCGAACAGG
Molecule: ribosomal RNA, 254 nt
Filed under: uncultured bacterium
Lineage: Bacteria
Description: partial 16S ribosomal RNA
Rfam family: Bacterial small subunit ribosomal RNA
Source: RNAcentral